This 455-nucleotide ribosomal RNA is filed under the name uncultured bacterium. RNAcentral's name for it is "bacterial SSU rRNA". It matches the Rfam family "Bacterial small subunit ribosomal RNA", at positions 461 to 917 of the family's 1533-position model. The record is from RNAcentral.
CUGUGGAGUCGGCGGUGCCUAACUAAGAACCACCGGCCGAGUCCGUGCGGGGUAGGCAGGCAUUAUCGGGGGUGCAAGCGUUAUCCGGAUUCACUGGGUUUAAAGGGUGCGUAGGGGGGUUUGUAAGUCAGUGGUGAAAUCCCCGAGCUUAACUUGGGAACUGCCAUUGAUACUGCAAGUCUUGAAUUUUCUGGAGGUAAGCGGAAUAUGUCAUGUAGCGGUGAAAUGCUUAGAUAUGACAUAGAACACCCAUUGCGAAGGCAGCUUACUACGGGAAUAUUGACGCUGAGGCACGAAAGCGUGGGGAUCAAACAGGAUUAGAUACCCUGGUAGUCCACGCCCUAAACGAUGAUUACUCGACAUUAGCGAUAUUACAGUUAGUGUCUAAGCGAAAGCAUUAAGUAAUCCACCUGGGAAGUACGACCGCAAGGUUGAAACUCAAAUGAAUUGACGGA